UCAUUGCUUAUCAUUUUUAGUUCUGUUGGUAACUGUAUGUAGGAGGAUGGCUGGUCAAGAGAAUGGAGUAGACAACUUCGAUGUUGUGCCACCUUCGCAGCAGCCUGGCUUUGUUGAUUAACGUGGAAGAAGCAGACGAGGAAAAAAUAGAGGAGCUGGAGAAAUCUAUGUUCGGUUGGCUGCAGGACCACGGUCACACUCAUGUGCAUCACUAUGGUCACUUUGUCUGCCCUUUCUACCAUCUUGCUCACCGGGUUUGGGGUAUUCGUGACAUCGUGCAGCAUGCGUUUGGCAUUGGUCGCUCGGGUCGUGUUACCCUGGACUUGAGGGCUAGGCAUUGUGC
Molecule: long non-coding RNA, 343 nt
Filed under: Setaria italica (foxtail millet)
Lineage: Eukaryota; Viridiplantae; Streptophyta; Magnoliopsida; Poales; Poaceae
Description: long non-coding RNA (SITA_LNC003143)
Source: RNAcentral